AGAACUCUGGAAUGAGUCUUUGCCAGAAAGACGUUUACGUUAUGCUCGUAGGCGUCGCCCAAGGAUGAGGCCGCGGCCGAUCAGGUUGUUGGUGAGGUAAUGGCUCACCAAGCCUUUUACCGGUGCGGGCCGUGAGAGCGGGAGCCCGGAGAUGGGCACUGAGACAAGGGCCCAGGCCCUACGGGGCGCAGCAGUCGCGAAAACUUUGCAAUACACGAAAGUGUGACAGGGCUAUCCCGAGUGCCAUCCGCUGAGGAAGGCUUUUACCCAGUCUAGAACGCUGGGGGAAUAAGGAGAGGGCAAGUCUGGUGUCAGCCGCCGCGGUAAUACCAGCUCUCCGAGUGGUGUGGAUGUUUAUUGGGCCUAAAGCAUCCGUAGCUGGCUGAGUUAGUCCCUUGUUAAAUCCACCGAAUUAAUCGUUGGAUUGCGGGGGAUACUGCUCGGCUAGGGGACGAGAGAGGCAGACGGUAUUUCCGGGGUAGGGGUGAAAUCCUAUAAUCCCGGGAAGACCACCAGUGGCGAAGGCUGUCUGCUAGAACGCGCCCGACGGUGAGGGAUGAAAGCUGGGGGAGCGAACCGGAUUAGAUACCCGGGUAGUCCCAGCUGUAAACGAUGCAGGCUAGGUGUUUGGACGGCCACGUGCCGUUCUAGUGCCGCAGGGAAGCUGUUAAGCCUGCCGCCUGGGGAGUACGAUCGCAAGAUUGAAACUUAAAGGAAUUGGCGGGGGAGCACCACAAGGGGUGAAGCUUGCGGUUUAAUUGGAUUCAACGCCGGAAAUCGA
RNAcentral lists this ribosomal RNA (781 nucleotides) under uncultured archaeon. RNAcentral's name for it is "bacterial SSU rRNA". It matches the Rfam family "Archaeal small subunit ribosomal RNA", at positions 164 to 928 of the family's 1478-position model. The record is from RNAcentral.